ACUCAAAGGAAUUGACGGGGGCCCGCACAAGCGGUGGAGCAUGUGGUUUAAUUCGACGCAACGCGAAGAACCUUACCUGGGCUUGACAUCCCUUGAAGGUGCUGGAAACAGUACCGUCCUUUCGGGGACAAGGUGACAGGUGCUGCAUGGCUGUCGUCAGCUCGUGUCGUGAGAUGUUGGGUUAAGUCCCGCAACGAGCGCAACCCUUAUCCUUAGUUGCCAGCGAGUAAUGUCGGGAACUCUAAGGAAACUGCCGGUGAUAAACCGGAGGAAGGUGAGGAUGACGUCAAGUCCUCAUGGCCUUUAUGCCCAGGGCUACACACGUGCUACAAUGGCCGGUACAAAGAGUUGCAAGCCCGCGAGGGGGAGCCAAUCUCAAAAAGCCGGUCUCAGUUCAGAUUGUAGGCUGCAACUCGCCUACAUGAAGGCGGAAUCGCUAGUAAUCCCGGAUCAGCAUGCCGGGGUGAAUACGUUCCCGGGCCUUGUACACACCGCCCGU
Molecule: ribosomal RNA, 499 nt
Filed under: uncultured bacterium
Lineage: Bacteria
Description: partial 16S ribosomal RNA
Rfam family: Bacterial small subunit ribosomal RNA
Source: RNAcentral